RNAcentral lists this ribosomal RNA (252 nucleotides) under uncultured Bacteroidales bacterium. Its description in RNAcentral is "partial 16S ribosomal RNA". It matches the Rfam family "Bacterial small subunit ribosomal RNA", at positions 524 to 776 of the family's 1533-position model. Lineage: Bacteria; Pseudomonadati; Bacteroidota; Bacteroidia; Bacteroidales. The record is from RNAcentral.
UCCGGAGGAUGCGAGCGUUAUCCGGAUUUAUUGGGUUUAAAGGGUGCGUAGGCGGAUCGUUAAGUCAGUGGUCAACUUGAGGGGCUCAACCCCUUCCCGCCAUUGAAACUGGCGAUCUUGAGUGGAAGAGAAGUAUGCGGAAUGCGUGGUGUAGCGGUGAAAUGCAUAGAUAUCGCGCAGAACCCCGAUUGCGAAGGCAGCGUACCGGCUCCACACUGACGCUGAGGCACGAAAGCGUGGGUAGCGAACAGG